CAGCAGCCGCGGUAAUACGUAGGGGGCGAGCGUUGUCCGGAAUUAUUGGGCGUAAAGCGCGCGCAGGCGGUCCCUUAAGUCUGAUGUGAAAGCCCACGGCUUAACCGUGGAGGGUCAUUGGAAACUGGGGGACUUGAGUGCAGAAGAGGAGAGCGGAAUUCCACGUGUAGCGGUGAAAUGCGUAGAGAUGUGGAGGAACACCAGUGGCGAAGGCGGCUCUCUGGUCUGUAACUGACGCUGAGGCGCGAAAGCGUGGGGAGCAAACAGGAUUAGAUACCCUGGUAGUCCACGCCGUAAACGAUGAGUGCUAAGUGUUAGAGGGGUUAUUCCCUUUAGUGCUGUAGCUAACGCGUUAAGCACUCCGCCUGGGGAGUACGGCCGCAAGGCUGAAACUCAAAGGAAUUGACGG
Molecule: ribosomal RNA, 409 nt
Filed under: Geobacillus sp. DDS003
Lineage: Bacteria; Bacillati; Bacillota; Bacilli; Caryophanales; Anoxybacillaceae
Also listed under: 3 other names
Description: bacterial SSU rRNA
Rfam family: Bacterial small subunit ribosomal RNA
Source: RNAcentral